This is a long non-coding RNA of Equus caballus (horse), 1177 nucleotides long. Lineage: Eukaryota; Metazoa; Chordata; Mammalia; Perissodactyla; Equidae. The record is from Ensembl.
UAUCACAUAAGAAACUCAAAUAUUGCUACAAAAUAUACAUUAUAAUGGAUUUGAAAUUUGCUGUAACCAAAUAUCACAGAGACUGGAGGAAAAAGAGGAGAUUCAUGCAUCUCUGGAUUAGUAUAGGGCACAACUUCUCAAAAUGUGAUCUGGAGUGCACAAAAUCCUUUCAGGGAGAAUGGAGAUCAAAACUAUUUUCAUAAUAGUACUAUGACAUUGUUUGCCUUUUUCUCUCAUUCUCUUACUGGUCUACAGUGGAGUUUUCCAGAGGCUACAUAGUAUGAAGAUGUGAUGACAUCAUAGCUCAGAUGGCUAAUGGAAUCUGUGCUAGUAUACAUUUUUAGAAGUUUUCAGCUUUAAUUUUUAAUAUGAUAAUAUUGAUCAGUUAACUCUCAUAAACAAAAUUGGGGUCCUCAGUAAUUUUUAAGGAUGUAACGGGGUCCGAAGAUCAAAAUGCUUGAAAACUGCUGGUGUGUAGGGUGUGCUCCCUCUGCAACGUUCCAUGCUGCUGUUUACUCUUCACUCUAUUUUAAAGAUCCCCCAUAUUGCUGUCCAUACAUUUCGUUCUACAUUUAUCCACCACAUUUUACUUAGUCUCUUAUAGCUCUGUGCAAGAAUUUCUCUAGAGUAAUUUCAUGAAAUACUUCCAGAAUAAAUACUUCUCAGAAUAGCUGUAUGAGUUGACACCCUCGCCAGCAGUCCUAGUGAGUACCCAUUUCUCCACAUCCUUACCAACACUUCAUUCACCUUUCUGAUUUUGCCAUUCUGAUUGUCAUAAAGUGGCAUCUUCCUGUUCAAAUUUUGCAUUUCUCGCAUUUUAUUUUUUUGAUCUUUUUCUUUUGAUCGGUCUUGCCAGAGUUCUGCUUAUCAUAUUAAUCCAAGAAUCAGCUUCUAAUUUUUUAAAAUGUCCUUCUCUUUACCGUGUAUCAUUGAUUCUUGCUUUCAUCCUUAAAUUUUUUUUCUGUCUGGGUUCUUUGUGUUUGAUUCUUGAUUUGAAUUUCCCUGAUGAUUAGUGAUAUUGAUCAUCUUUUCAUGUGCCUAUUGGCUAUCUGUAUAUCUUUUUUGUAAAACUGUCUGUUCAUAUCCUCUACCCAUAUUUUUGAUCAGCUUGUUUGUUUUGUUGUUGUUGUUGAGUUGUGUGAGUUCUUUAUAUAUUUUGGAGAUUAACCCCUUGUCA